UGUAGGAGCCGGCUUGCUGGCGAUGGGCCUUUGAAUCCAGCAUCAAUUCUCAGAACGCUAUCGCCAGCAAGCCGGCUCCUACA
RNAcentral lists this unclassified non-coding RNA (83 nucleotides) under Pseudomonas migulae. Lineage: Bacteria; Pseudomonadati; Pseudomonadota; Gammaproteobacteria; Pseudomonadales; Pseudomonadaceae. The record is from RNAcentral.